GGGAAACGAUGUGGGAAGGCACAGACAGCCAGGAUGUUGGCUUAGAAGCAGCCAUCAUUUAAAGAAAGCGUAAUAGCUCACUGGUCGAGUCGGCCUGCGCGGAAGAUGUAACGGGGCUAAACCAUGCACCGAAGCUGCGGCAGCGACGCUUAUGCGUUGUUGGGUAGGGGAGCGUUCUGUAAGCCUGUGAAGGUGUGCUGUGAGGCAUGCUGGAGGUAUCAGAAGU
Molecule: ribosomal RNA, 226 nt
Filed under: Escherichia coli N40607
Lineage: Bacteria; Pseudomonadati; Pseudomonadota; Gammaproteobacteria; Enterobacterales; Enterobacteriaceae
Description: partial 23S ribosomal RNA
Rfam family: Bacterial large subunit ribosomal RNA
Source: RNAcentral